RNAcentral lists this ribosomal RNA (336 nucleotides) under uncultured Pseudomonadaceae bacterium. Its description in RNAcentral is "bacterial SSU rRNA". It matches the Rfam family "Bacterial small subunit ribosomal RNA", at positions 1046 to 1382 of the family's 1533-position model. Lineage: Bacteria; Pseudomonadati; Pseudomonadota; Gammaproteobacteria; Pseudomonadales; Pseudomonadaceae. The record is from RNAcentral.
UGGCUGUCGUCAGCUCGUGUCGUGAGAUGUUGGGUUAAGUCCGUACGAGCGCAACCCUGUCCUUAGUUACCAGCACGUAUGGUGGGCACUCUAAGGAGACUGCCGGUGGACAAACCGGACGGAAGGUGGGGAGUGACGUCAAGUCAUCAUGGCCCUUACGGCCUGGGCUACACACGUGCUACAAUGGUCGGUACAAAGGGUUGCCAAGCCGCGAGGUGGAGCUAAUCCCAUAAAACCGAUCGUAGUCCGGAUCGCAGUCUGCAACUCGACUGCGUGAAGUCGGAAUCGCUAGUAAUCGUGAAUCAGAAUGUCACGGUGAAUACGUUCCCGGGCCUU